UUAAUUAAAAUUUGUAUGGAGUUGGAACGUUGGCCUACGUUUGCCGCUAGAGGGCGCUGUUCCAACUGCAUACAUAUUUGAGUUA
Molecule: non-coding RNA, 85 nt
Organism: Bombyx mori (domestic silkworm)
Lineage: Eukaryota; Metazoa; Arthropoda; Insecta; Lepidoptera; Bombycidae
Source: Rfam